CAAUAGCGUAUAUUAAAGUUGUUGCAGUUAAAAAGCUCGUAGUUGGAUUUGUGGCUGUCACGGGCGGCCUAUCACUUAGUGUUAGUGCUUGCCUGUGUCGCCAUCCUUGGGUGGAGCCCGUGUGGCAUUAGGUUGUCGUGCGGGGGAUGCCCAUCGUUUACUGUGAGAAAAUUAGAGUGUUCAAAGCAGGCUUAUGCCAUUGAAUAUGUUAGCAUGGAAUAAUAAGAUAGGACCUCGGUACUAUUUUGUUGGUUGGCGCACCGAGGUAAUGAUUAAUAGGGACAGUUGGGGGUAUUCGUAUUUCAUUGUCAGAGGUGAAAUUCUUGGAUUUCUGAAAGACGAACUACUGCGAAAGCAUUUACCAAGGAUGUUUUCAUUAA
Molecule: ribosomal RNA, 380 nt
Filed under: uncultured eukaryote
Lineage: Eukaryota
Description: partial 18S ribosomal RNA
Rfam family: Eukaryotic small subunit ribosomal RNA
Source: RNAcentral